This 163-nucleotide ribosomal RNA is filed under the name Psathyrella cf. gracilis BXGH09. RNAcentral's name for it is "5.8S ribosomal RNA". It matches the Rfam family "5.8S ribosomal RNA". From Rfam's summary of the family: 5.8S ribosomal RNA (5.8S rRNA) is a component of the large subunit of the eukaryotic ribosome. It is transcribed by RNA polymerase I as part of the 45S precursor that also contains 18S and 28S rRNA. Lineage: Eukaryota; Fungi; Basidiomycota; Agaricomycetes; Agaricales; Psathyrellaceae. The record is from RNAcentral.
ACUUUCAGCAACGGAUCUCUUGGCUCUCGCAUCGAUGAAGAACGCAGCGAAAUGCGAUAAGUAAUGUGAAUUGCAGAAUUCAGUGAAUCAUCGAAUCUUUGAACGCACCUUGCGCUCCUUGGUAUUCCGAGGAGCAUGCCUGUUUGAGUGUCAUUAAAUUCUC